Molecule: ribosomal RNA, 484 nt
Filed under: uncultured bacterium
Lineage: Bacteria
Description: partial 16S ribosomal RNA
Rfam family: Bacterial small subunit ribosomal RNA
Source: RNAcentral
AUUGAACGCUGGCGGCAUGCUUUACACAUGCAAGUCGAACGGCAGCGCGGGCUUCGGCCUGGCGGCGAGUGGCGAACGGGUGAGUAAUGCAUCGGAACGUGCCCAGUAGUGGGGGAUAGCCCGGCGAAAGCCGGAUUAAUACCGCAUACGACCUGAGGGUGAAAGCGGGGGACCGAAAGGCCUCGCGCUAUUGGAGCGGCCGAUGUCGGAUUAGCUAGUUGGUGGGGUAAAGGCUUACCAAGGCGACGAUCCGUAGCUGGUCUGAGAGGACGACCAGCCACAGGGGCCGGGGACCCCCCCCCAGCCCCCUGGGGGAGCGGCAGGUGGGAUUUUUUGGACAUGGGGGGCGCCCUUGACCCACCCUGCCGGCGGGGGGAAAAAAGGCGUGCUGUUCGUACCCCCGUUUUGUGGGGAAAAAAACCCCUGGGCCUAACCCCCCGGGGGGAGGACGGUACCGGAAAAAUAAACCCCGGCUAACUACGGG